Phalacrocorax carbo (great cormorant) is the source of this 1901-nucleotide non-coding RNA. The record is from RefSeq and is a predicted model, not a curated record. NCBI's taxonomy places the organism in Eukaryota, Metazoa, Chordata, Aves, Suliformes, Phalacrocoracidae.
GUUGUCCAUCAAAUCUUUGGGGGCUUUCUGAGAUCCAGAGGUACUUUUCCACAACUGUCGCUCUCCUGGAAUUGUCUGUGCCCUUCUGCCUGCCUGUGAGAAACGGCUGUUCAUGUGACUGGUGUAGUCGGUAGGAAGAGCAUAAACCGGCACCGUUGAUCUCCCCUGUCGCUGAGCGUUUUGAUUUGCCUUCUAGUCACGUGCUUGAGCUGCCAAGCAGUCUCCGAUUCCUACGAGCCCUUCCUGGAUGUUCCUUUGGAUAUCCAGGUGAGACGUUUGGAUAUUGGGGUGCAAAUUAGUUCAAGGCCCCUGCAGGGGGCCCAGGUUAUCUCCAGUAAAGGCUGUUGACUUCAACCUGUGCGCCGUUACCACGCAAGAGCUUGUUGUUGGGUGGGAAGGGACCUGGACUUCCGUGCGCUUUCUGUGGAAGCCCUGUCAAUGGCCUCCCUGUGCCGUGUGCUGGGUUUCAGCUGGGCAAAGAGUACGGGUGGUACCUACAGCCAAGGCGACGCUGUCACACCGCCCUGCUCCGGGCUCCCGCAAUACCUGUCUCAUUGCUUUUGUUAUUUUUGACCACAUGUACCGCAGGCAACUCUGGUGCCCCCCAGGGGUAGCUGUUUGUUGGGAAGAUGCUGGUACGCCACGGGGAGCUAUUUCUUGGGACGCUGCGUUUCCAGGAGCUUAGCGCUCUCUCCUUUCUUUCUCAUCCAGGAAUGCUCCUCUGUCACUCAAGCUCUGGAAGGCUUUGUCAGACCUGAGCUGCUGGGUGGUGAAAAUGGCUAUAGAUGUAGCAAGUAAGAUCAUGCCUAAUGACAGCUUCCCAGCAGAUCCUGGCUUACGGGAUUACACCUCUGGGAGCACUGGCUAUGGUUUGACUUAUCUGGGAAACCCACUCAUGAGCCAGCUUGGAGUUUUUUCUAUUUUUUGUUUCCUUCCCCGUACAACUGUUCCACCCGCACCGUCCAGAAUUUGGAAUAGAAUGCAUUUGUUUCUAAGAUGGGUAUUUUUUUUCCCCUUUGGCCUGAAUGUUUGGAAAGCUUUGAUGAUAAUUUUAUUCCUGGCAUUGCCUGCCCUGGAGGUGGUCAGCCUUCCUCGCUCUGAAGCUGCCCACUGAACGAGCCCUGUGGCCAGAAGGGAAAAGACACGUCCCCUGUGCGGUGGUGAGCCGAAGCCGGGAGGAGCUCUGCAGAGGGAUUUGACAAUGGCGGCUUCCUCAAGAAAGCAGUCAACAGUUUCAUUUCGAAGGCUUUUUGGGUGCUUGGGUCUCUGUGCGGGAGGCCUUAGUCCUCGGAGCCGUAGCAGCCCUGCUGGCUCUCUGAGCAGUGUCGUGGCUAGUUCUUGUCAUGUAAAGACUGUUGCCUGCUGCUCUCCAGAGUGAGGCAGCCUAGCCCGAAGCUACCUUCAGGGAGAGCCUACGGGCUGAAGGGCUCUGCGAUGCAAACACGGGCAUCGACAGCUGGGCAAAGCAAGCCGUAACUCAAGCCUACCUGGAGGAGGGUGGAGCAGGGAGAAGAUAGGUUGCAACAGUCGGGUCUGUGCUUGUCUUCAAGGUGUGAAGAGCUGGUCGCUGCGUCCAAGAGGCUUACAAUACAUCGUUCCUCCAAUGUCCUGACAGUGUGCUUGAAGAGGUUUGAUCCUUUCUCCGGCAGCAAGAUUAGCAAGGAUGUGGAGUAUCCGGAAUGUUUGGACCUUGGCGCAUACACGUCUGAAGCACCUGGAGAACCGCUCCUCUAUUCCUUGUACGCUGUCCUGGUGCAUCAAGGUUCCAGCUGUCAGGCAGGACACUAUUACUGCUUCGUAAAGGGCGGCAAUGGACAGUGGUACAAGAUGAACGAUGCCUCUGUGCAGCUGUGUAACAUCAAGACGGUUCUGCGCCAGCGCGCAUAUUUGCUCUUCUAUGC